RNAcentral lists this ribosomal RNA (397 nucleotides) under uncultured bacterium. Its description in RNAcentral is "partial 16S ribosomal RNA". It matches the Rfam family "Bacterial small subunit ribosomal RNA", at positions 523 to 918 of the family's 1533-position model. The record is from RNAcentral.
AUACGUAGGUGACAAGCGUUAUCCGGAUUUACUGGGCGUAAAGGGCGUGUAGGCGGUCUUGCAAGUCAGAAGUGAAAUUCCUGAGCUCAACUCGGGCGCUGCUUCUGAAACUGCAGGACUUGAGUGCUGGAGGGGAUAGCGGAAUUCCUAGUGGAGCGGUAAAAUGCGCAGAUAUUAGGAAGAACACCGGUGGCGAAGGCGGCUUACUGGGCUUUUACUGACGCUGAGGCUCGAAAGCGUGGGGAGCAAACAGGAUUAGAUACCCUGGUAGUCCACACUGUAAACGAUGAAUGCUAGGUGUAGGGGGUAUCGACCCCUUCUGUGCCGCAGUCAACACAAUAAGCAUUCCGCCUGGGGAGUACGGCCGCAAGGUUGAAACUCAAAUGAAUUGACGGGG